Molecule: ribosomal RNA, 1008 nt
Filed under: Pseudoniphargus morenoi
Lineage: Eukaryota; Metazoa; Arthropoda; Malacostraca; Amphipoda; Allocrangonyctidae
Description: 16S ribosomal RNA
Rfam family: Archaeal large subunit ribosomal RNA (bases 792-950)
Source: RNAcentral
AUUGAUUUUAUUUUUAUUUUAAGUAAGAAUAUAUGGAUAGUACCUUUUGUAUCAGGGUUGUUUAAUAUAAAUAAUGAUUUAGGUUUCUCGAUAUUAACUGAGUUAAAUAAGGUACUAUAUGUUGAAUAAUUAUGUAAAUUUAUUUAGUAGUGAAAAUUUUUCGUAGUUGGAGGUAUCUAGUUGUUUAUUAGGUCGAUAAGAGGGUAAGCUUCUUAUUUUUGUAUAUUUUAUAUAUAAUAUGAUAAAUUAGGCUUAAGAUUAGCUGUAUUGAUAAUUUGUUUUAAAUUUUUUAUGUUGGCUGGUUAGUAUUAUUUUUAAAGACAAUUUAAUUUUAUAAGGUGGUUUUAUUUAUAAUGGGUAAAUUAGUAUUUUUUUUUUUCUGUAAAAUAUAACUCGAUAUUUGUAGAAUGGUUUAUCAAAAACAUUUUUUUAUUGGUAUAAGGUAAGGCCUGCCCAGUGUAUUUAAUAAACGGCUGCGGUAUUUUGACUGUGCUAAGGUAGCAUAAUAAUUUGUUUUUUAAUUGUAAACUGGAAUGAAGGGUUUUAUCUAUGAAGUAUUUUAUUUGCAGGAUAAAUAAUUUAUAUUUAUGGUAAAAAUACCGUAAUUAGGUAAAGUGACGAUAAGACCCUAUAAGCUUUAUUUAUGAAGUAAGAAAGUCAAGGAUUUAGCGUUUUUUUAUUUAAUAUUAAUUUUGCUGGGGCAGUAGUAUUAUUUAAUUUAAUAGGUUUAAGACAUAGGUUAAUGAGUAUAGGAUCUUUUUAUAAAGAUAGUUAGUGUAAGUUACUGUAGGGAUAACAGCGCAAUAAUUUUGGAGAGGCCUUAUUGAUUAAAUUGAUUGCGACCUCGAUGUUGAAUUAAAAUUUCUUUUUGUUGCAGAAGACAGAGGAGAAGGUUUGUUCAACCUUUAAAUUUUUACAUGAUUUGAGUUCAAAUCGGUUUGAGCCAGAUUGGUUUCUAUCUUUUAUAAUUUAUAGUUUGUGUAAGUACGAAAGGGACACAUAAAAUUU